This 265-nucleotide ribosomal RNA is filed under the name uncultured microorganism. Its description in RNAcentral is "partial 16S ribosomal RNA". It matches the Rfam family "Archaeal small subunit ribosomal RNA", at positions 330 to 593 of the family's 1478-position model. The record is from RNAcentral.
GCGCACCAGUCGCGAAAUCUCUCCAAUGUGUGAAAACAUGAGAGGGGUAUUCCAAGUUCCCUUGUUAUGCAAGGGAUUUUCUUUGGUCCAAGACGCCAAAGGAAUAAGAGCUGGGUAAGACCGGUGCCAGCCGCCGCGGUAACACCGGCAGCGUCGAGUGGUGGGCCACUAUUAUUGGGCCUAAAGCGUUCGUAGCCGGGCGAGGUAAGUUGCUCUGGUAAAUCCCAUAACUUAAUUAUGGGGCUUCAGAACAUACUGCCUGCCG